Molecule: long non-coding RNA, 3402 nt
Organism: Balaenoptera acutorostrata (minke whale)
Lineage: Eukaryota; Metazoa; Chordata; Mammalia; Artiodactyla; Balaenopteridae
Exons: 3
Source: RefSeq, a predicted model, not a curated record
GGGAAGUAUUGGGCACUUAUGGCAUGAUGUCACGAGUGAUGGUGCUUUUCUCAGUGGACAUGCUCCGUCCCUUGUGUCUUGCUGAGAACUUUCUCUGUGUGAGGCGGCCUGUGGAGCACCGGGGCUGGGGCGAACGUGCUGGGUGGAUAGAGUCUCCCCUUCAGCGUCUCCGCUUCCAAAGAAGGGGGCGUCUGGAGAUCUGGGGACUCGCGGGCUGUGGGCCUGGCAUGGGGAGGAGCCCUGGGUGACCCUCACUAACUGAUAGGAGAUGCUGUUGAAUCCAGGUGACAGUCUGUCAGGUGUAGGGUGGUUGGCGACUCCCGUGCCACCCAGAACUCUCAGUUUGCUGGUUCUGGCGGGUCCCCUGUGGGAAAGCCGACACGGGCAUCCAUUACUCUCAGGAGGUGGCUUGGUGAGCGGGGCCUUGGCGCAGAGGGAGCUGGGGCACCAACACGGCCAACGCCGUCCAGCUGCAGUGUCUGGGGUCUGUUUGCCGCGACGUGGGGGUGACUCGUCAGCCCCGCUCUCCCUGGCGUGCAGAGCACACGCUGAGCAACACUCUUUCCGGAAUAUUCCACACGCAGCCCUGCCUUUCUGUUAGCACGUGAACACUCCAGCAGCCCGUCUACAGGGGAAGGAAGAGGACAGCGUUUUCACAGUGCUUCCGGGGCCGUCUGCAUCAGAAUCCCCGCGAGGGCUUGUUAGAAGCACGGCAUCCUGGUCCCACUCAGAGUCAGGGAGUUGGAGGCUGGGAGUGGGGCCCGAGAACCUGCAUUUCCAAAAACACACACCUGGUGAUUCUAACGCAGGCAGAAGUUUGAGAACCGCUGCCGUAGGGUACGGGUCGAGACAAAACAAAACCAGACAGACUGCCCAGGUGUCUCUUGCUCUCUGGCCCCUGUGUUCGGACGGCAAGGGUUUGGGUGAGGAGGGCUGCGCAUCCCUGCGUCUCGGGUGGCAGUGGUGAGAGUUUGAGAAGCAGCGGGCCCGUCGGUCUGUUGGGUUCCUUCUUCCCCCCGCAGGGGUUCUGAGAGCGAGGUUUGCUGGAGUUGCAGCUCCGAGGCUGCGCCUGGACAUCGCGUUAGUGACAGUCACUCCCGAUGACCCUUUAAAUUUCGGACUGCACACCAGGAAGGGUGCUCAGCAUUUUGUGUGUGCUCUUUGGUCCCCGUGGGACCCUAGCGGGGGGCCUGCUCUCUCUGUAGUCCAGUCUAGGUUCGAUUUCCAGUUACCCCACACCAGCUGCAUGGCUGCUGACGAGUCAUCCUAUCUCCCUGAGCCUCGGUGUCCUUAUCUGCAAAAUCGACACAAGAUGGGGGAAGGUUUUCCGCGAUGACAGCUGCUCUGGAGGUUUUCAGCGGGGACCACGGUGAACGUGUGGGGUGUCUAGGACAGUGUCGGCUGCACGGCGAGGGUGCCUUCCCCGCCCCCGCGAUUGUGUCAGCCCCUCCUCUCACCACACCCACUGGCGGUGUAGCUGCCCAGUUGGACACACGGGUUCACAGUGUGACCCAGAGGACCUCCCUGGUGUACUCGUGUGCUGAUCCUCGCCCCACAUUCACCUUGCACUUGGCCCUGCUCAUCAUCUGCCUGCAGCUCUGGGUCUUGAGCCUCUGGGUUCUGUGCCCCCUUCAGCCGUCAGCCCUCUAACUCAGUGCCGCGUGCGUGAGCCUGGGGCCACGCGGGGAUCGCCGGUGUGUGGCCCCCUCUCCCCGUGUCCAGCUCCCCUCUGGGCUUUGCUCCCUCCCUGGAUAGCUGAGGCCCCGUGGCCGGUCACUUACUCUUCCUGCCAGCUCCUGAGCACGCGCGUCCCUUUAUCCUCAUCCUGACUGCAAUACCCUGACCACAGGACAGUCCGGCCACCCUGUCUGCUCUCAAGCCCGCGUCCUGAGGCAGGGACAUGCUCGCAUGCCCAGUCCUCUGCUCGGCUCCCUCUUGCCCUCUGCAGCUGUGCUGAACCCUCACCACUCCCCUCCAGCCCCUCACGUCCCUCUGCCCCCGUGCCCUCCUCCCCCCUGCCCCCCUGCCCUUCUGCCCCAUCUCUCAGCAGAUGACUGUACUUCCUGUUUCAGAGGCAGAGGCUGGUUGCCAGUCUGAGGAAGGGGAAGGCACAGGCUGAACGUGGGUACACAUCCUGGCUGUGCCCCUUGCCAGCUGUGUGUCUCUAGGCAAGUUAAUCAACCUCUCGGAGCCUCGGAGUCCUCCUGUGUAAGAUGGAAGUGGUAAUGCUCACCUUCUGGGGUGGUUCGGAGGAUCAGAUGGUACCCAGCAGGGGCCCGCAGAGGAAGGAAGGCGUACCCUUGACUAGUACACAGCCAUCCUGACAGGUGUCUCUGGUCCCCAGGAGGACCGAAGUUCCCCAAGUUACAGACUGGAGACUUUUAUCUACCAGAAGGUAGAAGUAGCCAGGGUUCAGCAUAAUCCUUCUAGAAGGUUAGAUGGAUAGCCACUGUCUUCACCACCUGGGGAGAGGGGGCGAGUCUCAUGACUGUUCUCGCCCCGGGUCCAGCUGACAGGACUGGCUGGGACACACGGACGCUGGGGCUGGUCUGAUCGCCCGGCAGCUCCCUCGCUUCUCCCCUGUGGCAUGGGUAGGGGACUCAUCUUUUUCUUUAAGAUUUGUGAACAAGGCGGGGGAAGAGUCAGCCCAGCAGAGGCUGUGGCUCUUUCACGGAGCCUGUCUGCUCCGGAAGCCGCUCUGGGGUUGAGGGUCCGUGGAGGGUGUGCUGCUCUCCCUCCUCCGCCACCGUUCUCCUGCCUGCGGGCAGUUUGUUGGGAAGGAGGCGUGCGUGCCAGCCACAGGCUGUGAGGGAAGCGGCUGCCAUCUGCUGGGUUACGAAGAGCUCAGGGGAGAGGCCCACUCACGGCCGUUGUUAGAGUUGAGGUGUGUCCCUCAGAAAGAUCCGUGGAAGUCCUGACCCCCAGGGCCUCAGAAUGUGGCCUUGUUUGGAAAUAGGGUCAUUGCAGGUGUGACUGGUCAGGAUGAGGUCAUGCUGCCGUGGGGUGGGCCCUGACCCAGUAUGGCUGGGGUCCUCAUGAGAAGAAGCGCCAAGGAUUGUGGCCACCACCAGAAGCUAGAACGUUCCUCCCCUGGAGCCUUCAGAGAGGCUCUGCCGACACCUUGAGUUCAGACUUCUGGCUUCCAGAACUGGGAGGCGAUCUGUCUCUGUUGUUUUAAGCCACCAAGUCUGUCAUACUUUGUUAGAGCGGCCCAGGAAAUGAAUACAGCUAUAUGGUAUCUUUGGUGUGACCCUCAGCAGACUUCGGAAGGCUGAGGGGUCAGUUUCUGUGUACGUGGUUGUCUCCUGGGACCCGCACACAUCCAUGUGCUGUGAUCUGAGCCCUAAAGUGAAAACUGAUUUGCGUAGCAAAGAAUCCUCCUUGUGGACGUGCGGGUUCCGC